AGUUAAAAUAAUUAAUUGCAAAUUAAUACUUGAUUUUUAAUCUUUAACUU
Molecule: transfer RNA, 50 nt
Filed under: Echinolaelaps echidninus
Lineage: Eukaryota; Metazoa; Arthropoda; Arachnida; Mesostigmata; Laelapidae
Description: tRNA-Cys
Source: RNAcentral